UUCAUGAACCAAGCAGCAGAAGUUUCAAGAAUCUUCAAUUUCCUCUAUAUUCAGACUGAACCGACUGGAUCAAACUUCAAUGAAGUUGAAGGUGAUUGAAUGCGGGUGAUCGAGCGUGCGCGCACUCAUGCUUGCAGGAUAUCCGCGGAUGCAGGAGGCGGCUGACCGGGAGGAUGACGGCAAGCGCGCAAGAGCGAGAAGUCGGUAACUUAACUGGCCUAAAUGGGUUUAACUCGAUGUGAUUUUGCUGGCGAACCACUAAAUUGAACGAAUACGAACUAAACUGAACUCAACUAAGCUAAUCAUAUCACAUUACUAGCGUUAUUAGCCGAGAGACGAUAUAAGUGAAGGUCCGGUGGUGCCGGGCUGCAGUAACGGGUCGCCUCCUGCACUGACCCUCUGCACGACUUUCUUUUCGACCCCUUUUUCUCGUUCACACUGUCAAGAAUUUCGUGUCCUGUAUCAUCUAUCCGUAUCUAAAUCAUAGAAACGCGAUCAUUCUGUAUAAUUGUUACGUUUGUCGUUGUUUACGAAAUUGUUUUUUAGGUUAGUUUUGUGAAACUUUGUGGGAAGUGAAGUCUCUCGGAAGAAACAGACGAUUCUCGAUGUACACGAGGUCUGGCGGACGAUGUUGCCCGAUCCUGGCCGAGUCGCAACGCUACCUUGACUGUGCAACAGGAAACACGUGCUCCCGGUGAAAGUGACAGCUCGGAGCGCGCCAAAUUUGAAACGGAGAUCGAAGAAUCGCGUUGUUCGUAACCUUGAAGACACUGCUAAAGAUAGACCAGAGGAUUUUCGCGGGUGGCAAAGGAAGGCAGUCGGCGAAAGACGAGCUUUCUUCGAAUCGAAAGAGGAAGAUCGAGUGACGGAGCGUGUCCGCCCGACAACAGCGAAUCCUCAAGCUCGAAAAUAGAUCGCAUAGCUUUCCCGGCACUUCAAACGACGUGUAUCGUAAUAGGCAAGCCCGCUGCUCACCGAAAAGUCUUGGCCACGGAUAAUUAAACGUUUAUAAACACCGGAGAUUCCGCAAAAGCCUGGUCGCACAUGACAUUAUUUGGCGCGCUUCACCGAAAGAGCAA
Long non-coding RNA from Bombus pascuorum, 1079 nucleotides. RefSeq lists it as uncharacterized. The record is from RefSeq and is a predicted model, not a curated record. The transcript is spliced from 2 exons. Lineage: Eukaryota; Metazoa; Arthropoda; Insecta; Hymenoptera; Apidae.